GAUGAACGCUAGCGGCAGGCCUAAUACAUGCAAGCCAAGGGCUGUUUGGGGUAGUAAUACAUCAAACAACCGGCGGCCGGGUAGGUAAGGCGUAGACAAUCUACCCUAGACAGGAGGAAAGUCCUCGGAAACGAGGUAUAAUAGCCCAUAAGAUUGCGUAGAGGCAUCUUUAAGCAAUUAAAGCAGCAUGGCGGUAUAGGCUGGGCGUGGGUCAGAUUAGCUAGUUGGUGAGGUAAAGCCACACCAAGGCGAUGAACGGUACGGGGUCUGAGAGGAAGAUCCCCCAGACGUGCAAUGCGGCACGGGCCCGAAUCCUACGGGAGGCAGCAGUAAGGAAUAUUGGACGAUGGAUGAAAGCCUGAUCCAGCCAUGCCGCGUGCAGGAAGAAGGGCCUAUGGGUUGUAAACUGCUUGUGAGAGAGGGAAGUAAGUUCGAUGCGUCGCUCGAUGAUAUUACUUCUCGAAUAAGCAUCGGCUAACUUCGUG
This 485-nucleotide ribosomal RNA is filed under the name uncultured bacterium. RNAcentral's name for it is "partial 16S ribosomal RNA". It matches the Rfam family "Bacterial small subunit ribosomal RNA", at positions 28 to 507 of the family's 1533-position model. The record is from RNAcentral.